This 71-nucleotide transfer RNA is filed under the name Marmota monax (woodchuck). Its description in RNAcentral is "tRNA.Ala". The record is from RNAcentral. Lineage: Eukaryota; Metazoa; Chordata; Mammalia; Rodentia; Sciuridae.
GAGGUUGUGGCUCGGUGGUAGAGUGCUCGCCUAGCACAUGCAAGACCCUGGGUUCAAUCCUCAGCACCACA